AUUAUUUACAACAAAUACAACGUUUAAUAGCCGUUAACUAUUCUCAAUAUUUACUAUGUAUAAUAAUUUAGAAUAAAUUUCUAGAGAGUUCUUGAAAAUUCGAAUUGCGCGUGACUUCACGCGCCCUUAAAAUUUUCUCCCAAAUAUUUUUUUUCUGCGAUAAACCUAGAUUUCACGAUUCUGCCUCUCCGGUCACCGGCGUUCCUUGCCAGUACCGUGAGAGGGCUCCCUGUUGUUUAUCUUCCUUCUUUGUAGCGUUGUUUGUUUGCUCCGAUGGUGGUGGCUUGGAUCUUCUCCUUUAUCUGAAGCCUCGUGUUGGUGGUAAGCCGUCGCGUGGAAAGAGAAUACUCACCAAGGGGGUUGAGUUGCCGUCUCUGUGGCUGCUUGAGGACGUCGGCUUGAGUGUUCUACGGUGUCUCUCGUGGGUCUUGGGGGGGGAACGACUUUCUCUCGUGCGACCGUUCUAGAUCUAGUCUUAGAUCUUGGUUUAUGGUGGCUUUGAUGUGGUGUGGGAGCAACUCAGUUUCCUUACGGGGUUGGGCUUGUGGCGUCUCUAGACUCCGGUAUAGCUAGCCGGUCUCUUCUCGCCUUUCUUCCUUUUCAGUUGGUGUUGAUCCAGUUCCUUAGUUGCCCUGCGGUGCUUCUGUUUGUUGGUGUCACUCUCGGUCUCUCCUCCAUCGGUUCUCCUGCUUCCAGUUACUGAGAUUGAGGAUUUUGGUUGUUCUUGUGGCGGUUAAGCUCGCCGUGGGUGGGUUUUUUUUUUGGGUUAACGUUUUUGGAGGUCUAUGUUAUACCCGAGUGGAGUCUCAUGAGAAGAAUAGAGGCAGCGCUUUGGUCUAGGUGGCAUUACUUAUCCGUGGGAGAUGGUUCCUGUUGUUUGGAAUAGGAAUGGUGAACGAAGGUGGUUUCUCUGGUUGCCCGUAGAUGCUCAUGUAACCGUCGGGUUUGUGCGUUAGUCCGCUUUUGUCAUUGUGUUUUUGUGUUAGUUUGCGGAGAAGUUGUAGGCGCCUUAUCCGGAGGUUUUGAAGGCUGGCCUCAUUUAGGAUUUGGUUUGCUCGUGGCAACUAGGAUGGGACUAUGGAAAUCACACAAAUUUCCGAGUUUGGCAUCUCAGAAUCGGUGUUUUCUCUUUUGUUUUCGAUCGGAUUAACGUGUUUCUCUAUUGCUGUUUUUGUUGUCCGUUUAUUCUGUAGUUUUUUGUUUUUUUUUUGCUACUUGUGUUCAUUGUAAUUUCUGUCAAAACUCGAAAAUGGUAGAAAUACUU
Molecule: long non-coding RNA, 1264 nt
Organism: Camelina sativa (false flax)
Lineage: Eukaryota; Viridiplantae; Streptophyta; Magnoliopsida; Brassicales; Brassicaceae
Source: RefSeq, a predicted model, not a curated record